AAUAGAUGACGCCAUUGACUUUUUCUCACAUGUUUGACCAUUCGUCUUAUUAGAAAAAUUUACAUAAUUACAAUUUAUUUUGUUAUGAGUUGUUUUAUCACUCAUAGUACUUUAAGUAUGAUUUAUAUCAUAUAUAUUUGCAUAAAAGUUUUGAAUAAGACGAAUGGUCAAACAUGUGACAAAAAAAUCAACGGUGUUAUCUAUU
Oryza rufipogon (brownbeard rice) is the source of this 205-nucleotide microRNA precursor. It matches the Rfam family "MIR812 microRNA precursor family". Lineage: Eukaryota; Viridiplantae; Streptophyta; Magnoliopsida; Poales; Poaceae. The record is from Rfam.